RNAcentral lists this long non-coding RNA (363 nucleotides) under Junco hyemalis (dark-eyed junco). RNAcentral describes it as "lncRNA (ENSJHYG00000017289.1)". The record is from RNAcentral. Lineage: Eukaryota; Metazoa; Chordata; Aves; Passeriformes; Passerellidae.
AUAUAAUUGUCAUUUUUGGAAACCAUCUGGUUGAUAUUUUUCAAAGGUGAAAAAAAAGUGAAUUGGUGGAUGAGAUACAUCAGUACCUCUGAGCAGUUGAAAACACAAGCCUGGUGUCACACAGCUUGGAAAGCAAUUUGUCUGGGCUGCUGGCUGGCUGAGCAGGGUUACACACAGCGCACACGGUGCUGCUGGCUGGCAGCUGGCAAGUCAUCUCAAGGAUACCUGUUCUGCAAGGAACCAGAAAGGGUGGUUGUUACUGUGUUGGAACAGAAGGCUGGUAGCAGACAGAUGUUUGCAUGGUGCUCUCUUGCUUUCCAAGAACUCAAAAAUGGAUUUCCACCUGUAAAGUCACCUUAUUGA